UUCCGAUUGGGCAGGAGGCUUACCCCCGCAGCGGUCUAUUAAGCCUAUUGGUCGAGCCCGCUUUGGGGGCGGGGCUUGCGCGCUCCCCGCCCUCGCCUGCGCCGCGGCGCAAGGGGCGGGGCGCGCCGCCGCCGUCCGUGUUUCCGCCGCCGCCGGCUCCUGCGCGUUGGGCGGGGGAGGAGUCGGAGGCGGAGAAGAAGGCGGCGGCGGCGGCGGGUGGAGGACCGAGCGCCGUCCUCGCUCCGGAGCCGCUUCUCAGCUCGAACUUCAAACAGCAUGGAAGGACUAAGGUGAAAAGUGCAUCUCCCACUUCCCCUUCUAGUUCUGCCUUCGUUCUGAGAGUCAGCUGUUCAGUAAACUUCCUCUUUAUGUGAUUAUUUCUGGAGCAUGUAUUCCUAGAAAUUGAAUUGCUAGAUUAAAAACAGUAUGCAUUUAAGUUUUGAUAACCUAUUAAAUUUCUCCCUACUUAGUACUCUUUUCCAAGUUAAUCUUAUGCAUUCUACAAAUGAACUUUAGACUCAACUUGCAAAUUAGAUAAAAGAUCCUUUAGGUGUUUUGAGUGAGGUUAUAUUGAAAUUUUAGAUUAAUAUGGAGCAUAUUGUACUUUGUGAUACUGAAUCUCUCCCCUCUGAUAGAUAUGUAUAGCAUGUCUCUUAAUUCACAUCUUGCUUAAGGAAAGUUUUAUAAUUUUAUUCCAUAAAACUCUAUGGCAUUCCAUCUUGGUAGCUCUGGUGGAUAGAAACUUUAAGUAACAUUUAUUUCUCACCCCCCAGUUAUACCAAAGCUUU
RNAcentral lists this long non-coding RNA (788 nucleotides) under Bos indicus x Bos taurus (hybrid cattle). RNAcentral's name for it is "lncRNA (ENSBIXG00005029833.1)". The record is from RNAcentral. Lineage: Eukaryota; Metazoa; Chordata; Mammalia; Artiodactyla; Bovidae.